Molecule: non-coding RNA, 117 nt
Filed under: Nomascus leucogenys (northern white-cheeked gibbon)
Lineage: Eukaryota; Metazoa; Chordata; Mammalia; Primates; Hylobatidae
Source: Rfam by way of RNAcentral
GCCAGGCAUGGUGGCUCAUGCCUGUAAUCCCAGCACUUUGGGAGGCUGAGACAGGUGGAUCACUUGAGGUCAGGAGUUCAAGACUAGCCUGGCCAAUAUGGUGAAAUCCCGUCUCUA